AUGCUUCACCAAGUCAUUGCUCUCCUGAGUUCAUUCCAAGACUUUCUCGCCUUCGCUGGCACCUCCAGAUCUUGGCGCUCCGCGGCCUCUUCAUUUCCAUCUAUAUAUACAUCCACCUUUCCCCCGCUCCACCUCAAACCUGAUGCCCGUUAUGCUCGUCGACAGCAGAAAUGCAAAUGGCAGCUUGUUGAUCCUUCCAGGACAGCUUUGCCCCCUCGUUGUUUGGCCCCGCGAAAUGCUCCAAGUUCAGCGCACUAUUUAGGUUCCUCAUACGGGUAUCUUAUAUUCUUUGAUCAGACGCAUUGCCUACUUGUCAAUGCGUACACUGGCACUAAAACGAAAUCUCCCAAACUCCGACCUGGCAACAACUUUGGGAACUACUAUUAUGGGAUUCUCACAGCUCCGCUCAAUUCGUCCAACUCGUGUCUUCUCCUUUGUUCGAACACCUCUAUGUUCCAGUGGAAGUCUGGAACACACUCAUGGGUUGAGCAGCCAUUUGCUUCUGGUGGUGCUCGCAUCCUUCAGAUCGUGUUCUUCAAAGGUCAGAUGUUUGCCAUCGACUUUCUUCAGAGAAUCCACAUUAUGCAAUUUUUGCCUCAGCUUGCCAUGCAUGAAGUAGCAGCUGUUAGGGGAGAGGACAUGGUUAUUGGCCUCCAUUUCAAGCCAUGGUUGGUGGUAUGUGGCGAGAGGCUUCUCCUGGUUGACCUAUCGGUAGUCUCUGACGAACUAUAUGGCAUCCAUGGUAAAUUUCAAGGCUUUCACCUUGACUUGUCAACGGAACCAGCCAAGUGGGUGGAGAUAGAGAAGUUGGAGAAUUGGACACUCUUUAUUACCUUUGAUAGGAGGAACCCUACAUUUUCUUGCAUGAGCCCCGAGAGGUGGGGAGGAAAGAGCAACUGCAUUUAUGUUGCGAGACCUAUUGAAGGUUCGGAUGAACCUUGGACUGCGAUCGAGCUUGGUCAACCAGUGCCGAGCACAACCAGAGCCAUUUCAUCCAGUCUAAUGAGACCGCCGGGGGCCAGUCAACUGGAGAACCUAUGGGUGCUCCCGAGCUCUGUUUAUGAUUUCGGACAGUGA
This 1077-nucleotide ribosomal RNA is filed under the name Triticum aestivum (bread wheat). RNAcentral describes it as "partial small subunit ribosomal RNA". The record is from RNAcentral. Lineage: Eukaryota; Viridiplantae; Streptophyta; Magnoliopsida; Poales; Poaceae.